CUUCCGUAGGGUGAACCUGCGGAAGGAUCAUUUAUGAUUGAACGUCUGUCGAGCUUGCUCACAGGCACAUCAUAUCCAUAACACCUGUGCACUUGUCGGAUGGCUUUGUGAAGACCGCAAGGUUGGAACUAUCCGUCUACUUUUCAUAACAAUUCUGUAACAAAUGUAGUCUUUUUUUAACAUAAUAAAACUUUCAACAACGGAUCUCUUGGCUCUCGCAUCGAUGAAGAACGCAGCGAAAUGCGAUAAGUAAUGUGAAUUGCAGAAUUCAGUGAAUCAUCGAAUCUUUGAACGCACCUUGCGCUCCUUGGUAUUCCGAGGAGCAUGCCUGUUUGAGUGUCAUGAAAACCCUCAACCUUUGAUUGGUUUAAACCUUUCUUUGGCUUGGAUUUGGACGUUUGCCGAUGAUAAGUCGGCUCGUCUUUAAAGUAAUAGCUGGAUCUGUCUCGCGACAUGGUUUGACUUGGCGUAAUAAGUAUUUCGCUAAGGACAUCUUCGGAUGGCCGCGUUGCAAGACUAAAGACCGCUUUCUAAUUCAUUGAUCUUCGGAUUUAUAUUCUUGACAUCUGGCCUCAAAUCAGGUAGGACUACCCGCUGAACUUUAGCAUAUCAAUAAGCCGGAGGAAGGAU
This 630-nucleotide ribosomal RNA is filed under the name Naganishia uzbekistanensis. Its description in RNAcentral is "eukaryotic LSU rRNA". The stretch from base 189 to 342 matches the Rfam family "5.8S ribosomal RNA". The record is from RNAcentral. Lineage: Eukaryota; Fungi; Basidiomycota; Tremellomycetes; Filobasidiales; Filobasidiaceae.